GCCAGUUGACCUUUGCCUUUCUUGGCUCAUCUGGUCGGGGCAUGCUUUCCCCAUCUCUCCUGCAGGUCAAGAGGAAACGGAGGGCUAAAACCCCUGACAUCUGGCACCCGAACAGGGACACAGAACAGGGACAUGGAACAGGGACCCAGAACAGGAACAUGAAGAAGUCGGUUCACCAAGAGUGAAAGUAUCUGCGAGCCAAGCCAAGCGAGUUCCAAGGUAAGGGUAUCCCUGGAAAGAUGGGGCAAUCUUACACUAAGUAGGAUGGCCCAGAUUGGGAAACUAUUGUUAAGGAGUGACUUGGGUCACAGCAGGUCAGUCCUCUCGUUGUCCAGGAGGAGAAAGAUUUAAAACCUCACUCUGACAGUAGCCUCCUAGACCCUUUUGAUCCCUGGCCUGGUUCUCUGGGUUCCAUACCAAGUGCCCCUGUCCCGGAACACAUGGUAGAGAGUCAGGAUGGGGAGCGGCCUUUGCCAUAUUAUCACCCCUCCCCCCAUGGAAAUUCUCCGCCCUCUUGUGCAAACCCGGAAAAGCCAGUUAAGCCACCAUCUUGUAUGGCUUUCCUGGUAAAUGCUAACCCUGGGGCCAAUAGACCAGACUUAUGGUAUCCCUGGGAGGCCCAAGAUUUGAAAGAACUCAAAAAGGCCGUCUCUGAGGAUGGACCUAAUUCGUCCUGGGCCAAAACCAUCCUCCAGGUCUGGACCACCAACAGUGUACCACGCAAGACUGGAAAAAGUUAACCAAGGCCGUGCUUCCUGGUCCCCUGUAUCUGAAAUGGUGUGCUUUUUUUUUAAUGAGGAGUGCCACGCUCAGGCUGGGAGGAAUCAGUCUGUUAAUGCCCCGGUUCCUGUAACUUAUGGGAUGCUGUUGGGGUCCAGUGAUCAGUUUUCCACAGGCCUUCAGCAGGCUGUUAUCCCUGCCCCUAUCAGGAGCAGGUAUGGGCUUUGGGGCUGGCGGCAUGGAAAAAGUUGGAGGAAGGCCCCUCAGAGCCCCCAGUAGCAGGAAUUACUCAGAGGACUACCAAGGAUCUUGCCACAUUCAUUGAGAGGGUGAAAAAGAGCCUCCAAAGGAAAUUCCCCCCAGAGCCCCUUCAGGACAAGUUUGUCAAGAUGCUGGUCUGGGAGGGGAUGACCACAGACCACAAACUAGCCUGUGCAGGGAUGAAGGACAGAUGUAUGGGGAGGUGGAUAGUGGCCACUAAGGAUGUCGGUACUCAAACCCACCAAUCACAGUCAUUGGUCGUGGCCUUGCAGGCCCAAAAAGCUUCACUUGCUGAGGCCCUUACUACUGCCUGCGCCUCUUCCAGUGGCACUGGGAAAGGUUUUUUUUAUUUUUUUAUGGAUUUGAUUAACAGGGCCACUUCAAAAGAGAGUGCCCUACAGGACGAAUAAGACCCUGUGCCCCACAGGGACGUCCCUCAGGCCAGACUAAGAAGCAAACUCUGCCUAAGAUGCCUUGCCCCCGUGUAGAAAGGGAUUCCAUUGGUGGAGGGAUUGUAAGUCCAAAUUUGGUAUUGAGGGGAAGCCUUUAAACUAAUAAUGGGGCGCCCUCCAUCCCCUUCACCCAAAGGAGGCACUCCGCCUAGUGGUCCACCUAGGGCCCACUGGACAGUCCCAAUAAUCCCGGAAAUUAGGCCAAAAAUGGAUAUCUUCAUAGCAGGGAAAAAGUUCUGCUGCUUGAUUGACACUGGAGCGGAUCGGGCAGUAUUAAGGAAAGAGGAGGUUCCCCCACAGUGGAAGCUGAUUCCCAGACCUCAGUUAUUGGGGGUAGGGGGUGAUACAAGGUCUGAAGAAACCAAGGAUUGGCUUACUUGCAAGGAUGUAGGUGGUAGUCAGGGAGACAUAUGUCCUCUGGUGGCAUCAGCCUGACAGCUAAGCUGCUGGGACAGGAUAUUUUGGGGGAAACUGAGGUGUUCAUCACUACAGAUCACAAAGGGAUAUAUGAUGAUAUCCUAGAGGAAGAGGAGUACCAGCAACAGUUUGGCCUAUCAGGUUCCCUUAGCAGUUACCGGGGGAUUCACUUUUUGAGACAUCGAGGCAGAACACUCCUGCACUCAGUGUGAGGCCUCAUCCCUCAAUCAUAGAGGCCGCUGUUCCCACCAUUCAAUGGCUUCCAGGCCCUCUAGUGUGGGUGGAACAGUGGCCACUUCCCCUAGAUAAACUACAAAAUCUAAAGGAGAUAAUAUCAGAACAAUUGACCCUAGGGCAUAUUAGGCCCUCCCUGAGCCCUUGUAAUAGUCCUGGACUGACAUAAAAAAGGCCACAGGGAAAUGGAGAAUGUUACAGGACCUAAGAAAGAUUAAUGAGCAGAUGAUUCCCAUUGUCAUCCCCUUGCGAGGGCUACCCUGGAUCCCCUCCAUCUCUCGGUAUUUGACUCUCAUUGUGAUUGAUAUCAAGGAUUGCUUCUUUUCUAUUCCCCUUGAUCCCCAGGACUGUGAGAAGUUUGCCUUCUCCAUUCCCUCUGUUAACUUCCAGGGCCCAGACCAAAGAUAUGAGUGGGUGGUGUUACCCCAGGGCAUGGCUAACAGUCCAGCUUUUUGUCAACAUUAUGUUUCACAAGUCCUGCAACCCCUUUGGAGGCGAUGGGACAUAAUUCUAUAUGUUCACAUGGAUGACAUCAUUAUUGGGGCGGCCGACACCAAAGUGUUAGGCUCCACCUAUAAGGAACUCCAGACUCUCUUACAAAAGGGAACAUUACAUAUAUCUAAUGACAAGGUCCAGACCUUACCCCAUUUUAAAAUUCUAGGGGUCAAACUUAAGUUGGACUCUGUCUGUCCCCUUAAGCCUCAAUUAUUUUUCCAGUCGUCCUACAUCUUGGUGGAAUUACAAAAACUGUUGGGCGAACUCAACUGGUUAAGGCCUUGGCUUCACCUGCCUACAGAAGACCUGCGUCCACUUUUCGAGUCUUUAAGAGAUAAAGUCCCCACAGAUGUCAUCACAAUGACUCCAUCACAUCAAUUGAUAUUCCAAAAGAUUCAGUCAGCCUUAAAAGCGGCACAAUUGGCUCCCUAUAGGCCCCAAUGCCCCCUCUGUCUUUGAAUCCUCCCCUCCCCAGUUAGGCGAGCCCCUUCAAUGGAUACAUGCAUCUGUGGGAGGGGCCCCUAGGUUUCUAUUCCCAACUUGACCAGUUGGCUGACCUGAUAGUUAAGGGUAGGGAUAUUUCCCUGAGACAUUAUGGGUGCAAUCCUGAUGUGCUAGUAGUCCCCUACUGGCUGUCAGACUUUUGAGUGGGUCAGAAGAAACCAUAGUCAGGUAUCCAAUGCCUUGGAGGGUUUCAUGGGAAAGGUGGAUUGUCAUUAUGGUACUUUGAGAUGGGUGACAUCAUUCUUGAAGUUACAAUGGACUGCCCCACCAUACUUUUUUCCACCAGAUCCCUCAUUAAAGUGGUAAAUAUCUUUACUGAUGGGGGAAAAGCAGGAUCUUUCGCAGAUCAUUCCCCUGCCAAUGAAAGGUACUUACCCACUAUUUUGAGCCAGUUACGGGAUCUGCACAAUUUAAGGAACUAUAUGCAGUUGCCCUGGCCUUAACCCAUGUCCAUGGACCAAUGAACUUGUUUUCUGACAGCCUAUAUGCAGUCAACUUGUUACCAACUCUAGUGUCAGCAUAUAUUAACUUGGACAAAAACCCAAUUACUUCUCUAAUGAUUCAAGUCCGAUCCUUGUUGAAAGAGCAGGCUGAACCCAUUUUUCUGCAGCAUCUCAGGGGACACCAAGAGUUACCUGGAAUCUUGACAUGGGGGAACCAAAUGGCUGAUUGAUUGGCUACCAAUGGGGCUAUCAUAGCUACUGCUCAGUCUCAACAGAACCUUCAGAUGGCUCAAGGACUUCAUGAUCUUACUCACUUAAACUGGAGAGGGUUACAUCAAAGAUUCCCCCUGAUUCCCAUAAAAGAUUUUAAAAAGAUCAUAAGGACAUGUAAAUCAUGUAUGCUGUUUUUACAGGUCCCACCUCUUCAAUCCCUGAGGGGUCAACCCCAGGGGCCUCAGACCUAAUGUCAUCUAGCAAACUGAUGUGACCCACUAUGCAUCUUUUGGAAAAUUAAAAUCUCUAUAUUUAUGUCUAUAGAUACCUAUUCACAUGCUUGUUGGGCAACUGCUCAGUUGGGUGAAAAAGCUCAACACGNCCACCUAUAAGGAACUCCAGACUCUCUUACAAAAGGGAACAUUACAUAUAUCUAAUGACAAGGUCCAGACCUUACCCCAUUUUAAAAUUCUAGGGGUCAAACUUAAGUUGGACUCUGUCUGUCCCCUUAAGCCUCAAUUAUUUUUCCAGUCGUCCUACAUCUUGGUGGAAUUACAAAAACUGUUGGGCGAACUCAACUGGUUAAGGCCUUGGCUUCACCUGCCUACAGAAGACCUGCGUCCACUUUUCGAGUCUUUAAGAGAUAAAGUCCCCACAGAUGUCAUCACAAUGACUCCAUCACAUCAAUUGAUAUUCCAAAAGAUUCAGUCAGCCUUAAAAGCGGCACAAUUGGCUCCCUAUAGGCCCCAAUGCCCCCUCUGUCUUUGAAUCCUCCCCUCCCCAGUUAGGCGAGCCCCUUCAAUGGAUACAUGCAUCUGUGGGAGGGGCCCCUAGGUUUCUAUUCCCAACUUGACCAGUUGGCUGACCUGAUAGUUAAGGGUAGGGAUAUUUCCCUGAGACAUUAUGGGUGCAAUCCUGAUGUGCUAGUAGUCCCCUACUGGCUGUCAGACUUUUGAGUGGGUCAGAAGAAACCAUAGUCAGGUAUCCAAUGCCUUGGAGGGUUUCAUGGGAAAGGUGGAUUGUCAUUAUGGUACUUUGAGAUGGGUGACAUCAUUCUUGAAGUUACAAUGGACUGCCCCACCAUACUUUUUUCCACCAGAUCCCUCAUUAAAGUGGUAAAUAUCUUUACUGAUGGGGGAAAAGCAGGAUCUUUCGCAGAUCAUUCCCCUGCCAAUGAAAGGUACUUACCCACUAUUUUGAGCCAGUUACGGGAUCUGCACAAUUUAAGGAACUAUAUGCAGUUGCCCUGGCCUUAACCCAUGUCCAUGGACCAAUGAACUUGUUUUCUGACAGCCUAUAUGCAGUCAACUUGUUACCAACUCUAGUGUCAGCAUAUAUUAACUUGGACAAAAACCCAAUUACUUCUCUAAUGAUUCAAGUCCGAUCCUUGUUGAAAGAGCAGGCUGAACCCAUUUUUCUGCAGCAUCUCAGGGGACACCAAGAGUUACCUGGAAUCUUGACAUGGGGGAACCAAAUGGCUGAUUGAUUGGCUACCAAUGGGGCUAUCAUAGCUACUGCUCAGUCUCAACAGAACCUUCAGAUGGCUCAAGGACUUCAUGAUCUUACUCACUUAAACUGGAGAGGGUUACAUCAAAGAUUCCCCCUGAUUCCCAUAAAAGAUUUUAAAAAGAUCAUAAGGACAUGUAAAUCAUGUAUGCUGUUUUUACAGGUCCCACCUCUUCAAUCCCUGAGGGGUCAACCCCAGGGGCCUCAGACCUAAUGUCAUCUAGCAAACUGAUGUGACCCACUAUGCAUCUUUUGGAAAAUUAAAAUCUCUAUAUUUAUGUCUAUAGAUACCUAUUCACAUGCUUGUUGGGCAACUGCUCAGUUGGGUGAAAAAGCUCAACACGCUGAAAGCCAUUUCCUACAAUGUUUUGCCAUUUUGGGAUUACCCUUACAGAUUAAGACAGAAUGGGCCCUGCUUUGUGAGCAAAUCAUUACAAGAAUUCUUCCAAACUUGGAAUAUUAAACACACAACUGGAAUACCAUACAAUCCAAAAGGUCAAGCUAUAAUUGAGAGGCAUAUAAGACCUUGAAGGACCAACUAAUAAAACAAAAAGGGGGAAGCAACCCCCCAUGACCAAUUAAGGACAGCCAUGCUUACAUUAAAUAUUUUAAUUUUUUCCAAAGACCAACCUGUAACUGCUUUCCAGAAACAUUGGUCUAAUCAGACACCUUAUGUGAAGGUAGAGGUCCGAUGGAGGGACACUCUUACUGGAUCAUGGCGCGGUCCUGAUCCCCUCAUUAGUGUAGGGAGGGGAUUUGGGUGUAUAUUCCCAAUUGGGGAGCCAAGUCCAAUUUGGGUACCCACUAGAGAUCUAAAAUACUGUUCACCAGAACAAAAAUGAUUACCCAAGAGUACCCUCUCUUGAGGUAUGAUUUUUUAUUUUCUCAUUUGUAGGAAUGAAAAGACCAUUCUGGACGCUUUGCCUGGUUGUGACCACAGUCCUCAUUGUCUCCCUCAUGGCAUUCAUCAUGGCCACGGGGAUGAGAACUGGACUUGCUGGCCUCAGUACUUCUUUAUAGAUAUACAAUAAUGCACCAAGUUGCCAGCACUAUCUUGGACCUGCAAUCUUAACUCGAUUCCUUGGCUGCGGUAGUCCUCCAAAACCAUCACAGCUUAGACCAGCUUACUGCCCAAGAAGGAGGACUAUGUCUGUUCCUACAGGAGGAGUGCUGUUUCUAUGGAAUGGGCUCCUCCAGUUUCUCAAGGAUCAAGCCAGAGCUGUUCAACUGAUAGUGGUCCGGCAGCAAUAUAUCAUCUUACAAGAUACUGACUGUGAACCCUAUGAGUUUGGCCACGGCCCCUACCAGGAUGUGCAGAUAUAAGCCAGGAGCAGAAAGGUUUCCUUCCUAGGCAAUAGCCAUCUCCUUCCUUGAAGCUUCCCAUUGGGCCUGCAGGCCCUGCAGGUAGGAUUACCCGAAGAGCUAGAGUGGUAGUCAGUGAUGGGUAAGAUCCCCAGAAGGGGACAACCUAAGACAGGCACACUCUCGAAUAAGGCAAACACCUGCUAAUAAAACGAAAAGGGGGAGAUGUAGGGCAUGACUUGCUGCCCGCUUCCCAGUCUUGGGGCCGAACAUGUGGCUGGGAUGGUGCCUGGCGAUCAGCCAGGAGGUGGUGCUGUGGGUGGUGAUGGAAAAAACAGACCACCUCCAGGAUAGGUCCAGGACUCUUCCACCCUCAUGGACAGCUCAUGCCUUCCCUUACAGACCUUGGGAUGGGUGUACAUGUGAACUCGCUCCACCCCUCUGACCUUUAUCCUGAUUGGCUCCUGCGCAUUAUAUUAGCUGUGUGUACUUCCUCAAUAAAUGAGAUCCUGCUUUGACUGGUCUCCC
This 7075-nucleotide long non-coding RNA is filed under the name Marmota monax (woodchuck). Lineage: Eukaryota; Metazoa; Chordata; Mammalia; Rodentia; Sciuridae. The record is from RNAcentral.